GUGGGGAAUUUUGGACAAUGGGCGCAAGCCUGAUCCAGCAAUGCCGCGUGCAGGAAGAAGGCCUUCGGGUUGUAAACUGCUUUUGUACGGAACGAAAAGGCUCUGGUUAAUACCUGGGGCUCAUGACGGUACCGUAAGAAUAAGCACCGGCUAACUACGUGCCAGCAGCCGCGGUAAUACGUAGGGUGCAAGCGUUAAUCGGAAUUACUGGGCGUAAAGCGUGCGCAGGCGGUUUUGUAAGACAGGUGUGAAAUCCCCGGGCUUAACCUGGGAACUGCGCUUGUGACUGCACGGCUAGAGUAUGGCAGAGGGGGGUGGAAUUCCACGUGUAGCAGUGAAAUGCGUAGAGAUGUGGAGGAACACCGAUGGCGAAGGCAGCCCCCUGGGCCAAUACUGACGCUCAUGCACGAAAGCGUGGGGAGCAAACAGGAUUAGAAACCCGGGUAGUCC
This 450-nucleotide ribosomal RNA is filed under the name uncultured bacterium. Its description in RNAcentral is "partial 16S ribosomal RNA". It matches the Rfam family "Bacterial small subunit ribosomal RNA", at positions 354 to 796 of the family's 1533-position model. The record is from RNAcentral.